GCCAGACUCCUACGGGAGGCAGCAGUGGGGAAUAUUGCACAAUGGGGGGAACCCUGAUGCAGCGACGCCGCGUGGGCGAAGAAGUAUUUCGGUAUGUAAAGCCCUAUCAACAGGGACGAAAGAAAUGACGGUACCUGACUAAGAAGCCCCGACUAACUACGUGCCAGCAGCCGCGGUAAUACGUAGGGGGCAAGCGUUAUCCGGAUUUACUGGGUGUAAAGGGAGCGUAGACGGCGAUGCAAGCCAGAUGUGAAAGCCCGGGGCUCAACCCCGGGACUGCAUUUGGAACUGUGUGGCUGGAGUGUCGGAGAGGCGGGCGGAAUUCCUAGUGUAGCGGUGAAAUGCGUAGAUAUUAGGAGGAACACCAGUGGCGAAGGCGGCCUGCUGGACGAUGACUGACGUUGAGGCUCGAAAGCGUGGGGAGCAAACAGGAUUAGAUACCCGCGUAAU
RNAcentral lists this ribosomal RNA (450 nucleotides) under uncultured bacterium. RNAcentral's name for it is "bacterial SSU rRNA". It matches the Rfam family "Bacterial small subunit ribosomal RNA", at positions 330 to 794 of the family's 1533-position model. The record is from RNAcentral.